RNAcentral lists this long non-coding RNA (6648 nucleotides) under Nicotiana benthamiana. RNAcentral describes it as "long non-coding RNA (NBEN_LNC022930)". Lineage: Eukaryota; Viridiplantae; Streptophyta; Magnoliopsida; Solanales; Solanaceae. The record is from RNAcentral.
GAAAAGGGGAGGGACUAAUAGAAAAAGUGCAAAAUGAGGGCUGCCCUCCCUUAGACCUAUAAAAAGGCAUCAAAAUGCCUUGGGGAGUAAGGGUUGGAGCUCCAAAAACUCCCCCCAAAAUUAUUCUGCAGAUCUGAUCUUCCUAAUUUGAAUUUCAAAUCUCAAAACCUUCAAAAAACCAAAAACAAAACAAAAAGCAAUAGAAAAUCAAAAAGUUACUGUUAUAUUGAGGCUCUUAGAUCAGUUUCAGCUUAUUUUGGCAAUUGUUUUAAAUCCUUAGCCUAGUUUGAAGAGGAGAAUAGCUGAAGAGUUAUAUUGUUUGGUUAUUGAUGUGAUUGAGGUUGUUUAUGUGUCAAUUGCUACUGGUGUAUUGAUUGUGAAUUUCAGUGGUCUGCUGGUUGUGGUUUCGAGUUAGUUUGGGGUCCAAAUAAGGGUGUUUCGACAUCCUGUUUUUAUUACUUCUCUGCUAUUUUUUCUGGGCUCGUAUUGGCGCUGAUUUGAGGCUUCAAUUCCCUUUGUUGCUGCUGAUUGCAAGUGCUGUUUACUGCUGUGUUGUUGCUGACCCCGUUCUCUUUUGUUCUUACUCGCAUUCCAGGUACAUGCUUGAUCUUGUUUCGAUGUAUUCCUCCCAUGAAAUGGCAAUGCAAUUGAUAUCAGUUACUGCAGUUUGUUUAGGAUUUGGUUUCAUGAAUUUAUUACUCUAGCUCAUUUGUAGUGGACUGGAUCAAUGUGUAAACUUAGAAGGAUAGCUGAAACAGGAAGUGGUUUUGAGGUCUGUGAUCUUCACGCGUAUUAACAAGUUAAACAAAUGAUUUGAGAAAAGAUCAUGAGCUUCAUUCAUAAUUACAUUGGUUCAAUUUUUAAUUCGUGAAUCCCGUGAGUGUUGAUUUAGUAAUUUUAGCUAAAACUAAUUCAAAACAUAGUUAGUAUGGUGUAUAUUAAUAAAAUCACUUUUCCAACCUGUUUUCACCUUAUUAAUACCUGAGAUUCAACAGAAAGCCAGUAAGCAAAAUAAUUGGAAUGUGAAAUUGAAAUUCAAUGAUCAAUGCCUUGUUAAUUUGAUGUAGUUACGUAUUUCUUUCUUGUUACCAUUGUUGAAGACACCUAAAACGUUUGAAUUCAUCUGGUCCGACGGUCAGACCUCUUAGGCGAUUGGGCCUUGAUACCAUGGCAGAUGGCCCAGUCAGCCUCUAUGUGUAUUUGGAUUGUGAUGUCUCUACAUGGGCCAUUUUAAGGCCCAAAGCAAUUGAGGGAUUGAGUGAAAUAGGUUUAUAGACCCAAAUGUGGUGAUCCUUAAAUAAUAUUAAUUGAUUAGGACCUUUUAUUUAUUUUUGGAGACAAACAAAAAUAAAAAUAUAGUUCAUUUUAGGAUAUUCUUAAAUAAAAAUAAGACGAACCUCGCCAAAUAAAAGUGCAAAUUGUGGGGCCCUCAAUAAAUGCUUGUGUUAACAUAUAGAUUUUGGGAUGGGUCGUUUAGCGAAUUUCACGGCCUUCCCCAAAAUAAUAACGCGUUAGUCUCUUUAGGCGCGCUUUUAAUAAUAUUACAUUCCUAAACUCGGGUGCGCAUUGGUGCAACCCAAAUCCAAAUCUCAACGGAGUCGAAAUGUGUCGACAACCACGGGUGCAUUGAUGUAACGUGGUUCGAGACGCAUUUUUACGACAUUGCAAUUCUCAUAAAAAAUAUACAAUAAUAAUAAAAGCGGUCUAAAAGUAAAAAGCACAUAAGCUAGAAUAUGUUUUGAAAUAAGAUAAAUCCAAAUAUAAUAGUUGAGCGACUGUGCAAGAACCACGGAACCUGGAAAUGCCUAACACCUUCUCCCGGGUUAACAGAAUUUCUUACUCGGAUUUUUGGUUCGCAGUCUGUUAACAGAGUUAUAAUUUCCUCGAUUUGGGAUUUAACUGAUGAUUUGGGACACAUUAAUCUCCCAAGUGACGACUUUAAAAUCUCAAUAAUAAAUCCCGUUCUGAUUGUCCUUUAAAUGGAAAAACUCCAUUACGCCCUUACGGGGUGUAGUGAAAAAGGAGGUAUGACAUAAUCAACUGACAUACGUCCACGACUGAUGUUCCAAAACGUCAAUACCACACGGAGGGGGGGGGGGAGGGAGCGUGAUUUGUGCGGUACCCAAUUUUCGAUCUAGAAGAACCAGGUUCUUCAAGGUGUUCUAACUACAAAUAUUUGCGAAAUUAUAAUACAGAAAUAAAGAACACAUAUAUUUUACGUGAAAAAUACCUGGCUCAAAUUGUGAAAAAACCACGACCUACUACUCAGUAGGAUUUCCCCCAAACACCCACUAAUCUCAAUAAGCCAAAAACAGCAUUUACAAAACUCUUCAAAACUUCAACUGAGCUUGGGCCAACAACGGCAGAGAUGAACAAUGCACUACAACAAAAAGAGCGUACAAAAUAUCGAGAGAACAACCUCACGAAGAGGCAAACACAAGUGAUAUACUAACACUUAUUCCGUAAAGUUAUCCCCUAAACACGACUCUCAAACCCCAUAUGGCUACAUUGUGAAUACUAAUAAAUGAGAAGGAAGAAACCUCAAUUUUUAUAGAAGUCCAAACCUUUUUCCUACGAGAAAAAAGACUAGCAAAAUACGGGAGAUUUAUAAUUUUCUUCUAAAAAAAAACCAAUUAUUAUAAAUAUGUUGUCCGUUCCUUUAAGAUUAGGAAACUCAAAUAGGGCAAAAAUUUCAAGAUAAAUAACUAACAUUGUGAACAUCGAAAAUAAUGGAAAGAUUAAUUAAAAUUUCACAACUAUAAUAUCUACCUCAUACAGACGAUUUAUAAUUAAUAAGUCGCCAACUUUUGGAUCAAGUUCCAUUAAAUGGUACUUAGGACCAAUUGAUUUGGAUAUGGACCAUUCGAAAGUGGACUAACUUUGCCUCAACUGACUUCUGACUUAUAAUAUAUGCAUUUCAUAAUUUUAACAAAAUAUCUCGACAUAUAAAAAGUACAAGGGAGAAGAGAGUCAGAGACUAAGACUUAAUGAUACUUGCGUGCUAACUUCCUUUUAUAUGAUUUUUAACCUUAUUUUAGAUGUCAUAACACUACUAUUACUAGUUAAUACUCUUUUUCUUUGUUCUUGAUAGUUGAAACACGUAUAAUGACUGUUUAACUAACUAUAAAAAAUAUUGGGUUAAUUAUAUAAAUAAUAACCUCAAAAUUUAAGGUGAUUUGUAGCUUUUUUUAGUAAUUAGUUAAGAGUAUAAUUAUUACAAUCUUUUUCCAUUCACUCCUCCAUAUGUUCUGCUCCAUUUGGUUCACUUUAAUUGAUUUUGAGCUUUUUGUUUGGUUCAUAAUAUUUAAUUUUUUCGGAUAUUAAAAAAUUAGCUUCUUUUUUUUUUUUUCAAAAUUACCUUGGAGUAAAGAGUCUAUGAGUAUUUAUUGUAUUUUUAAUGAACAAAUUUAACGUUAAUAUAGUUAAUUUUAUUAGUAAAAUUUAUAUUGAAAGGUAAAUUCCGUAAUUUAUGGGAAAACAACUAAAAAUUAUUAAAAUGAACAUGUGAAAGUAUUAAUUUGAGAGAAAUAAAGUCAAGUACGCUUAAUACGGGGUUUGAUACAAUACAAAACACCCAUAUUAUUUGUUGUAGGAUUUAUCUUUUUGUUCACCAUAGAAGGACUCACCGUGACGUUUCCUAUAAAUGCCAUCCACUUAAGGGCUUUUGGAAACACUAUUUUUUGAAGAUUUUUUUAAUUGUUUAGAUUUCAAUGCAAAACAAUAUGUGAUGUUUGUUUGUUGGAUUUAAACAAAAUCUUUCGCCUUUUAUUUAGUUGUUAUCAUCUAAUGGCCUAUUACAUUUUUAAUUGGUCUAACCUCUACCUUUUUUGUGUCUAUCUUCUUUAUCUUAUGACUGGGGACUUGUUUCAUGCCCUCUUGAAAGCAAACUAUUUUAUAAAUGAGUUCACAAUGUGUCGGAAAAUGUGUUUUCUUUUUCCAACCUUUUAUAAUUUUUGAUAAUUGAUUUUUAUUUAUACUUGAUGUAUUUUCUGCUUUAGUUUUCUUACCGUUUUCUUGUUGUUACAAUUUUUUUUAUGGCUAUUUUUGUCAGUGUAUUUCUUUUUUAAAUUGCUACGAUUAUGAUUAUGAUUACCAUGAGCCGAUGAUCAUUCAAAAACAACCUCUUUAUCUAUAAAAGGUAAGGAGCGUUCACUCAAUCCUCUGCAUGCCUAAUUUGUGGGAUUACAUUAAAUAUAUUGUUAUUAUUUUCGUUACACUUUUUAUAAAUACAUAUACUCGUGAUCAUAAGUAAUAGAUAGUAUAUUGUUGGACUUUAACAUCUUUAAAGCAUUGGGCUUCAAAAACUUUAAGUAUUGGGCUUUAAAGUAUAAGAGUGUGAAUUGAAAAUUGGGGGAAAUAAAAUGGAGGGAAAAUGAAAAUUUCAAGAAGUGAGCUUUUCUCUUCCACUUUGUCCCUCAUUGGUGAGGGACAACUAUAUUUAUGUGUAUAUAUAUAGAAUCACUUCUUAAAACUCCUAAAAGGAGUUGAAGAGAAUGAACUCUCGUGAUGUCGUCAUUGCUCGACUUUGGCUUUGACUUUGAAUUUGGCAAUCGAUCAAUAAGAUUAUUUUUGGACAAAAUUUAUUUAAUUAAUUAUUUAAUAAUUAAUUAAACGUUAGACGCUGUCCGGGCGUGACCGCGAUAGGAUCGCGCCAGACUCUGCUGCAGAUUCUGUUUGAAGGCCACUCUGGCCGCAGUCCUGGAAUAACCGCGGUAGGACCGCGGCAGAUUUUGUCUGAAUGUCACUCUAGCCGCAGUCCUGGCGUAACCGCGGCGAGACACCUUUCCAGAAUAGACGUCUUUCCCAAAACGAACAUCACACCUCUUCCAAUAAAUGCUGAGGCAUGGCUUCGUUUUUAAACACACUGAAGACUAAUGAACUUCUUUCUUUCUGAAAACAAUACAUUCUAAUUCGCAGUCUCUCUCUCAAAUUCGUAAGUGUGAUUUGCACGGUUCUUUGAGUUCGUUGGUAUCCUGCAGUUUGUAUUGCCACUGUUGCAGGAAGGUUUAUUCCGUUUCAUCCUGGGAGGAUUUAAUCUAUUAUCUUGGUAACGUAUGAGGGGGUUAAAAUUCCUCAAGGACGCACGAGGAAAUAUUGAACUCGGAUAUUUCUUAUUCUUUGUUGUUUUUCAUUUUUUAUUAUUCUUCUAACAAUUUUUCGAUUUUGUGUUUUAAACAGUAGCAUUCACAUAUAUGAUAUCGAAUGGAUCGCUAAAUAUGAUUUUAUGUUAUUUUAACCUUUUGAAUUUUGAAAAAACUUAAAUAGCAGUUGAAUGCAUUACUUUGUGUAGAUAUUCAGAACAACGAACAAGGAAAGAGAGCUCCAAUUAAUGAUCACUUUUUAUGAAAGCUAAGAAGAUGAUAAGCUAAACAAAAUUGGAAGUUGUCAUAUUUCAACUACUUUUGAAAAAAUUUGGGAAGAGAAGGAAAGGAACGAGGGAGAAAAAGGGAACAGUAAAAGGUAAAGUUUCCAAAAUUGGCCAAUUAUGGACACUUUUCACUUGAUUUUAUAACAUCAUGGUUGAUAUACUUAUGAUGCCAAAAUGGGGAUAUAACCUUGGCCAAUUAUGAAAUACUUUUGUCUAAACUUGCUACUAGGUGGGCGUUUGGACAUAAGAAUUCUAAAUUUUCGGAAAAUUUAUAAUAAAAAAAAAUAAGUAAAAAUAAUAUUUGAAAAUUAGAGUUGUGUUUGGACAUAAAUAUAAUUUUAUUUUUUUUUUGAAUAUUUGUGAACGAUCUGAUAUUAAAAUUUUGAAAAACAACUUUUAGGCAUUUUUUAAAUUUUCAAAAAAUUUCAAAAUUUAUUUUCAAGUGAAAAUUAAAAAAAUUUAUGACCAAACACAAUUUUUUUUUUAAAAAGUAUAAAAAACGUUUCGGCAAAAAAAAUUAUUUUUUUAUGGCCAAAUGGACCACCCCAAAUUCGAUUUGGAUAUACCAACUAUAAUCAGAGUUCCAUUAUAUCUAGGUUUGGUUGUUUAGAUUUCCUUGUUGGCACACAUUAAUAGGCUGACAUCUAAAGAAAAUUUUAAAUUACUGGCCAAAACAGAAGUUUCAUUAAGGGGAUUAGAAUAGUGUUUAAGAGAUUCAAUAUUUUUAUAUACACGUAAAAAGAUUUUUUACUUUUAUACGUAUUACAGUUUUCAACGAAGAAGAUGCUGUUGAAGCUUUUCGAUAAAUUCGACAACUUUUUGGACUAUCUCAUGCCAUAACGACAACGUUAAUGGUGAUUUAACCAUUAUUUCCUUUCCUAUGCUAUUGCUGCCUUUUAUUGACUGAACUGUGUUUGAUUAGACUUUAAUGUCUAAUACCCGCCACAUUCACUGACUUUAGUUAACAAAUUUCAAUUAUAUGCUACUCCUACUAGGUUUCAAAUUGUCAACAAUAAGAGCAUUGAUGUGGUGUAAGCUAAAAAUGGGGAUGCAUAAUGUCAAUGUCUUGUUGUGGGGACGUUGUACUUCACUUUACCAACAGGGUCAUGCCCUCAUUCGGGUCGACCUUAUUAAAGUAAAAGUGAUGUUUUUUAAGGUCUUGUUUUUUUACUGAGUGGAAGCCAUCAAUUUUUGUACUUUUUAAUUAUUUCGAGAAAGGUCUCCUACUAUAUAAAGAGAAUAUUCACAUUAUAAUAGACAUCAUUAUUAUUCUCGAAUAA